CUGUCAAUUAAUUAAUUCCGUAAAAGAAUAUCGGAGAGUAUCCAAUCUAUACACAUGAUAAACGGUGUAAAAAUGUUUCAUGGAAAAAACAAAGCAAACAAGCAAAGACAAAGACAAAUACCAACACCAUCACCACGGUGAUAACAGAUGAUGCUGAUUCAAUAUCUGCAACCAAUUCUAGCCAAAUACUUGGAUAGCUGGACUCUACAAUCAAUACCCAGGUAUUCUACAAACACAACCUCCAGCAAUGUAUCUAAGGAAUGUAAACUUCUACAGGCCUGUAAAGACUUUGGAUUACAA
Pelobates cultripes (western spadefoot toad) is the source of this 300-nucleotide non-coding RNA. The record is from the annotation of a GenBank genome assembly. NCBI's taxonomy places the organism in Eukaryota, Metazoa, Chordata, Amphibia, Anura, Pelobatidae.